This 1007-nucleotide ribosomal RNA is filed under the name Segatella copri. RNAcentral describes it as "partial 23S ribosomal RNA". It matches the Rfam family "Bacterial large subunit ribosomal RNA", at positions 214 to 1213 of the family's 2925-position model. Lineage: Bacteria; Pseudomonadati; Bacteroidota; Bacteroidia; Bacteroidales; Prevotellaceae. The record is from RNAcentral.
AGGAAGAGAAAAUAAAUUAAUGAUUCCCCCAGUAGUGGCGAGCGAACGGGGAACAGCCCAAACCAGUGGCGUCGCAAGGCGUGGCUGGGGUUGUAGGACCGCGACAUUGUAUGCAAAUCGUGAACAGAACACUUUGGAAAAUGUGACCAUAGACGGUGAUAGUCCAGUAUGUGAAGCGAAAUGCAGCAUAGCGGUAUCCUGAGUAACGCGGGACACGAGGAAUCCUGCGCGAAUCUGCCGGGACCAUCCGGUAAGGCUAAAUACUCCCGUGAGACCGAUAGCGAACGAGUACUGUGAAGGAAAGGUGAAAAGAACCCCGAGCAGGGGAGUGAAAUAGUUCCUGAAACCAUGCGCCUACAAGCGGUCGGAGCAUCUUACGAUGUGACGGCGUGCCUUUUGCAUAAUGAUCCUACGAGUUACCGUCACUGGCGAGGUUGAGUGUCAUGAGACACGUAGCCGCAGUGAAAGCGAGCCUGAAUAGGGCGCACAGUCAGUGGGGGUAGACGCGAAACCAAGUGAUCUACACUUGGCCAGGAUGAAGUCCCGGUAACACGGGAUGGAGGUCCGCACCAAUAAGCGUUGAAAAGCUUCUGGAUGAGCCGAGUGUAGGAGUGAAAGGCCAAUCAAACUUGGAGAUAGCUCGUACUCCCCGAAAGGCAUUUAGGUGCCGCGUCGGAUGGUCACCGUGAGAGGUAGAGCGACCGAUAGGACAAGAGGGCUUCACCGCCUAUCGAGUCCUGACGAACUCCGAAUGCUCACGGUCUGCAGUCCGGCAGUAAGGGGGCGGGUGCUAAGGUCCGUCCCCGAGAGGAGAAGAAUCCAGACCGCCGUCUAAGGUCCCGGAGUUCUGCCUGAGUUAGUCUAACGAAGUCUGGUCCCUAUGACAGCUAGGAUGUUGGCUUGGAAGCAGCCAUUCAUUCAAAGAGUGCGUAACAGCUCACUAGUCGAGGGUCCGGGCAUGGAUAAUAAUCGGGUAUAAGGCAGACACCGAAGGCGCGGGAUAGCAU